Molecule: non-coding RNA, 125 nt
Organism: Brachypodium distachyon (stiff brome)
Lineage: Eukaryota; Viridiplantae; Streptophyta; Magnoliopsida; Poales; Poaceae
Source: Rfam
UUUAUACUCCCUCCGUUUUAUAAUUCUUGUCUCAAAUUUGUCAAAAAAUGGAUGUAUCUAUUAUUAAAAGAUGUCUAGAUACAUGUAAGAUUUCGACAAAAAUUAUGAAACGGAGCGAGUAUUUU